UACAGAGGGGGCAAGCGUUGUUCGGAAUUACUGGGCGUAAAGGGCGCGUAGGCGGUGUGUCAAGUCAGGCGUGAAAGCCCCCGGGCUCAACCUGGGAACCGCGCUUGAGACUGGCACGCUCGAGUUCGGGAGAGGAUGGUGGAAUUCCCAGUGUAGAGGUGAAAUUCGUAGAUAUUGGGAAGAACACCGAUGGCGAAGGCAGCCAUCUGGACCGACACUGACGCUGAGGCGGCGAAAGCG
Molecule: ribosomal RNA, 240 nt
Filed under: uncultured bacterium
Lineage: Bacteria
Description: partial 16S ribosomal RNA
Rfam family: Bacterial small subunit ribosomal RNA
Source: RNAcentral